RNAcentral lists this long non-coding RNA (493 nucleotides) under Homo sapiens (human). RNAcentral's name for it is "non-protein coding LINC02173:12". Lineage: Eukaryota; Metazoa; Chordata; Mammalia; Primates; Hominidae. The record is from RNAcentral.
CUGAACCACAUUUGUGGUGAUGAAAGGUUUGGUCAGAAAAGGAGGCUGGGGUAAAACAGCAUCUAUUCUGUCAUUUGAAGAAUGGGAAGGAUUUUGCUAGAACAAGAGAGGGUGGGAAAAUAAGAAAGGAAAAUAGAACAUUUUAGGGAAAGGGAAUAGUGUGUGCAAAGAUGAAGAAGUAUAAAAGAAAAUGUAGCUUAUUCCAGAAACUGCUAAAAGGAUCAAUAUGCUGUCGUGUCAUGAGAGAGCCACAAUUCUUCAAACAUAUUUAACUGCUGGAGAGAAUGGCUCAGAAUCCCAGGUAUCAGCUUCAGCACACAUCUCUUCUUGGCCCUUGACAGAAGAAGCAGAGUAACUUUUCUUAGGUGGCAUAAUUCUUCAAAAUGUGUUCAUUUUGAAGAACAGGGGUGAUGGAUGGUAAUACACAGGCAGGGAUCAACAGUCCCAGAACUGAAGGAAGAGUUGACAAAUGUAUCAAAGAUGCCUAAUCAAA